AACAUGGUGAUUGACUAUCUCUGUCUGAUU
RNAcentral lists this small nuclear RNA (30 nucleotides) under Arabidopsis thaliana (thale cress). RNAcentral's name for it is "snRNA_17642". Lineage: Eukaryota; Viridiplantae; Streptophyta; Magnoliopsida; Brassicales; Brassicaceae. The record is from RNAcentral.